UACGUAGGGUGCAAGCGUUGUCCGGAAUUAUUGGGCGUAAAGAGCUCGUAGGCGGUCUGUCGCGUCUGACGUGAAAACCCAGGGCUCAACCCUGGGCCGGCGUUCGAUACGGGCAGACUAGAGUUCGGUAGGGGAGACUGGAAUUCCUGGUGUAGCGGUGAAAUGCGCAGAUAUCAGGAGGAACACCGGUGGCGAAGGCGGGUCUCUGGGCCGAAACUGACGCUGAGGAGCGAAAGCGUGGGGAGCAAACAGG
This 253-nucleotide ribosomal RNA is filed under the name uncultured bacterium. RNAcentral describes it as "partial 16S ribosomal RNA". It matches the Rfam family "Bacterial small subunit ribosomal RNA", at positions 524 to 776 of the family's 1533-position model. The record is from RNAcentral.